CCGCUUCCCAAGUUUAUACUGAUUAAGGACCUCUAUUUUACCAGUGUGCCAUGCUGCAAACAGUAGCCUCCUCGGCAGUGGAUGCAGACUGUUGAUUGUAUGGGUUGCCCUAAGGGACCUUGGAGACAGCC
Molecule: small nucleolar RNA, 131 nt
Filed under: Neogale vison (American mink)
Lineage: Eukaryota; Metazoa; Chordata; Mammalia; Carnivora; Mustelidae
Description: Neovison vison (American mink) Small nucleolar RNA SNORA70 (ENSNVIG00000000586.1)
Rfam family: Small nucleolar RNA SNORA70
About the family: snoRNA U70 seems to be exclusive to mammals and is a member of the H/ACA class of snoRNA which contain H (ANANNA) and ACA box motifs. H/ACA box snoRNAs are involved in the conversion of uridines to pseudouridines (5-ribosyluracil) a constituent of structural RNAs (transfer, ribosomal, small nuclear, and small nucleolar).
Source: Rfam by way of RNAcentral